AAAGCUCAAAUUUAAAAUCUGGCGGUCUUCGGCCGUCCGAGUUGUAAUUUAGAGAAGUGUUAUCCGUGCUGGACCGUGUACAAGUCUCCUGGAACGGGGCGUCAUAGAGGGUGAGAAUCCCGUAUAUGACACGGACUACCAGUGCUAUGUGAUGCGCUCUCGAAGAGUCGAGUUGUUUGGGAAUGCAGCUCAAAAUGGGUGGUAAAUUCCAUCUAAAGCUAAAUAUUGGCGAGAGACCGAUAGCGCA
Molecule: ribosomal RNA, 247 nt
Filed under: Jaapia ochroleuca
Lineage: Eukaryota; Fungi; Basidiomycota; Agaricomycetes; Jaapiales; Jaapiaceae
Description: partial 28S ribosomal RNA
Rfam family: Eukaryotic large subunit ribosomal RNA
Source: RNAcentral